GAUGAACGCUGACAGAAUGCUUAACACAUGCAAGUCUACUUGAAUUUGGGUUUUUUAACUUCGAUUUGGGUGGCGGACGGGUGAGUAACGCGUAAAGAACUUGCCUCACAGCUAGGGACAACAUUUGGAAACGAAUGCUAAUACCUGAUAUUAUGAUUAUAGGGCAUCCUAGAAUUAUGAAAGCUAUAUGCGCUGUGAGAGAGCUUUGCGUCCCAUUAGCUAGUUGGAGAGGUAACGGCUCACCAAGGCGAUGAUGGGUAGCCGGCCUGAGAGGGUGAACGGCCACAAGGGGACUGAGACACGGCCCUUACUCCUACGGGAGGCAGCAGUGGGGAAUAUUGGACAAUGGACCGAGAGUCUGAUCCAGCAAUUCUGUGUGCACGAUGACGUUUUUCGGAAUGUAAAGUGCUUUCAGUUGGGAAGAAAAAAAUGACGGUACCAACAGAAGAAGUGACGGCUAAAUACGUGCCAGCAGCCGCGGUAAUACGUAUGUCACGAGCGUUAUCCGGAUUUAUUGGGCGUAAAGCGCGUCUAGGUAGUUAUGUAAGUCUGAUGUGAAAAUGCAGGGCUCAACUCUGUAUUGCGUUGGAAACUGUGUAACUAGAGUACUGGAGAGGUAAGCGGAACUACAAGUGUAGAGGUGAAAUUCGUAGAUAUUUGUAGGAAUGCCGAUGGGGAAGCCAGCUUACUGGACAGAUACUGACGCUGAAGCGCGAAAGCGUGGGUAGCAAACAGG
Molecule: ribosomal RNA, 736 nt
Filed under: uncultured Fusobacterium sp.
Lineage: Bacteria; Fusobacteriati; Fusobacteriota; Fusobacteriia; Fusobacteriales; Fusobacteriaceae
Description: bacterial SSU rRNA
Rfam family: Bacterial small subunit ribosomal RNA
Source: RNAcentral